RNAcentral lists this long non-coding RNA (244 nucleotides) under Malus domestica (apple). Its description in RNAcentral is "long non-coding RNA (MDOM_LNC020359)". Lineage: Eukaryota; Viridiplantae; Streptophyta; Magnoliopsida; Rosales; Rosaceae. The record is from RNAcentral.
GAAAGCUCGAAAACCAAUAAUUGUUACUUGAAAAUAUGGGCGAAGACGAAAAGAAGAGAGGAGUGUCAAGUGAUCAUCAGCAUCACUAUCCCCCUCCGCCACCCGAGUACGGAACUUUCCAAGGAGUAGCCAACUACCCACCACCGCCUCCGCCGACAGGAUUCCCUCAGCCGGCGCCGCCGCCGGGAGCCGCUAACCCUUCAGCUCCUCCUCAUCCUGAAAGCUACGCUUAUGGAUAUCAAAC